Molecule: long non-coding RNA, 661 nt
Organism: Bombus huntii
Lineage: Eukaryota; Metazoa; Arthropoda; Insecta; Hymenoptera; Apidae
Exons: 3
Source: RefSeq, a predicted model, not a curated record
UAUAAUUUCUCUCCUAUCCAAUCCACCGCGAUGGCGACUGGUCCCCAUGAACUCGUCAAGUAUAUAGCAACUCUGGAGCUGGAACCUUCCCCAUUUAAGGGUUCUGAAUGCACUUUCUUGGUCUUCACAUCGCUCCAAAAGACACUAGAAGACAUUCUCCAAACUGCUCUUUCUUGAGCAACUAACAGUUCCAGUUUCACACCAGGAUGUUGCUGGGCUCGACACUUGUUGCGUGCCUGCAACGUGAAGCCUGGAGCACAACUGCAGAAAGAUAUUGAUGUACCUAUGCAAGUCGUUGAAUCAUUCGCGAGAACCCAGCCUGGAGGGCAAUAGCAGACUCCUCCUGUAGGAGAUGCUCGACAUUUGUAUCGACACAAUAAUGAAGUGCAUAUAACUGAUGCUGUAAACAAAGAAAGCAAACAGUUAUGGAGUCUCCAUUUUCAAUUAAAUCUUUAGUAUGUUUAGCAAAAAUCCAAUGAAGAGGUAGAGUUGUACCUGAUCUGAAGAUCCAUAUUUUAGCGUACCAAUUAAAACAGAAAAGGAAAUAGAUAUUUUUAUCCAAAAACUCAUUACAGUGUAACUCAUAAGUUUUACACAGAAUAACGCAGCACAUGUGAAAUUCUUUUUAUUGAUUCCAUUAAUUAUAUUAGAAAUAAGCAGA